GACGAACGCUGGCGGCGUGCUUAACACAUGCAAGUCGAACGGAAAGGCCCUGCUUUUGUUGGGUGCUCGAGUGGCGAACGGGUGAGUAACACGUGAGUAACCUGCCCUUGACUUUGGGAUAACUUCAGGAAACUGGGGCUAAUACCGGAUAGGAGCUCCUGCUGCACGGUGGGGGUUGGAAAGUUUCGGCGGUUGUGGAUGGACUCGCGGCUUAUCCGCUUGUUGGUGGGGUAGUGGCUUACCAAGGCUUUGACGGCUAGCCGGCCUGAGAGGGUGACCGGCCACAUUGGGACUGAGAUACGGCGCAGACGCCUACGGGAGGCAGCAGUGGGGAAUAUUGCACAAUGGGCGGAAGCCUGAUGCAGCAACGCCGCGUGCGGGAUGACGGCCUUCGGGUUGUAAACCGCUUUCGCCUGUGACGAAGCGUGAGUGACGGUAAUGGGUAAAGAAGCACCGGCUAACUACGUG
Molecule: ribosomal RNA, 468 nt
Filed under: uncultured bacterium
Lineage: Bacteria
Description: partial 16S ribosomal RNA
Rfam family: Bacterial small subunit ribosomal RNA
Source: RNAcentral